Molecule: transfer RNA, 71 nt
Filed under: Camelus bactrianus (Bactrian camel)
Lineage: Eukaryota; Metazoa; Chordata; Mammalia; Artiodactyla; Camelidae
Also listed under: 2 other names
Rfam family: tRNA
About the family: Transfer RNA (tRNA) molecules are approximately 80 nucleotides in length. Their secondary structure includes four short double-helical elements and three loops (D, anti-codon, and T loops).
Source: Rfam by way of RNAcentral
GGGUAUACCUCAAGUGGUAGAGCGCGUGCUUAGCAUGCACAAGGUCCUGGGUUCGAUCCCCAGUACCGCCA